ACUUGAAAUCAAACAAAAACCCCCUUUUUAAACACUAAAAAGAAUAUUUUCUUUCUUUCUUUGACAUUGCGCCGUAAUGCUCUCCUUCUGCCCUCCUCUGCUCCUAUGGCCAUGAAACAAAGGAGUUUCAACGACGUCACACCGGUAAGUUCCCUUUACUCCCUUCCUCGUUUUGUUUAUUUGUUGUUUUUUAGAAGCAAAAGAAAAGAACUAAAAUAAAUUUUUUUUAAAAAACAGUAAAGGAACAGAGAAAAAUAAAACCAAAUCCCACCUUCAAAAAUAUUUUUCUGUAUAUUUUCUUUUUGAUUUCAGUACAAAAAAUUUUCUAACCCCCUUACAAUAAAUCCAUUGGCUUUUUAUAGCCAAAACUCCUUUACAAUUUGUUGUCUCUAUCCUAUUAGUGUUGCCCGUGGUUUAUUCGUUGCAGGUACGUGGAAAAAGCAAGGUGUGCUGAUCGUGGGUGGUUGCUGCGAUGUGAGCAGUUGCUGCGGCAUUCGCGGAGGCUUUUUGCUGCUGCAGUACUGAGGCAAAAGGGCUGGGCUCCUUGAUUCUGUUAUGGGUUUAUUGGGCUAAUGUAAUUGGGUUACAAUUUGGGCUUGUAACAUUUGUAAUUGGGCCACGUAAAUUAAGAUUUUAAAUGGACUGGGACCUUUGUUUAUUUAAGCCCGGACUAAAAUUGGGUAUUACAAUAGAAAUAGGCAUGCUGAUUAAAACAAAUCACAAAAAGAGAAAUCUAUGCAUUAGGUUUUUUUUUUUCUUGGUGAUAGGAAAAUUGGAAAUGUGAAAAAGGAAGUGUCUUUUUUAAAAAGAUUGGG
Molecule: long non-coding RNA, 815 nt
Filed under: Gossypium raimondii (Peruvian cotton)
Lineage: Eukaryota; Viridiplantae; Streptophyta; Magnoliopsida; Malvales; Malvaceae
Description: long non-coding RNA (GRAI_LNC009116)
Source: RNAcentral